RNAcentral lists this ribosomal RNA (621 nucleotides) under Triticum aestivum (bread wheat). Its description in RNAcentral is "partial small subunit ribosomal RNA". Lineage: Eukaryota; Viridiplantae; Streptophyta; Magnoliopsida; Poales; Poaceae. The record is from RNAcentral.
AUGGGUGAAGUGCCAGUGUUUUUGCAGGGGCCCCAUGACGCCGGCCACCGUUGCCACCUAUUUUUGAAUCCAAAUACUAAGCAUGAUUAUCGGCCUUUCAGAGUUCGAAUCAUAAAAAAAACAUGGCCAUUACACAAUUCUUUCCUUGCUCACCUUGACGCAUAUGGACUACAAGGGUUUGUUAGGCUCAUAUCGAGCGAAGACCCUUCCCAGUUACGUUUGGACCCAUCCCUUUUGACAUCCCUCGUUGACCGGUGGAGACCUGAAACCCACACCUUUCACUUUCGUUUUGGGGAGCUUGCACCUACACUGAAAGAUGUUUCUAUGAUCACUGCUCUACCAAUUAGAGGUGAGCCGUUAGUCUCUCCACGAGUGUCUCCAUCUUGGCCAUUAGAUAUAGCAGCCCAUCUUGGGAUGGAAAUGCCAGAAUCACAACGUACUGGUGGCCCUCGGGGCAUCCCACUCGUCUGGCUUCGUGAUAACUUUCGUUUUUUAUCUAGCUUCACCAAUAAGGAGACGAGAAAAAGACAUCUGUUUGCGUAUUUGUUGUGGCUCCUCGGGACUCUAUUUCCAAAUUCACAUGGGGACAUAGUUCUCCCUGGUCUCAUCUACAUUGCAUAG